RNAcentral lists this ribosomal RNA (440 nucleotides) under uncultured bacterium. Its description in RNAcentral is "partial 16S ribosomal RNA". It matches the Rfam family "Bacterial small subunit ribosomal RNA", at positions 338 to 795 of the family's 1533-position model. The record is from RNAcentral.
CCUACGGGUGGCAGCAGUGGGGAAUAUUGCACAAUGGGGGAAACCCUGAUGCAGCGACGCCGCGUGAGUGAAGAAGUAUUUCGGUAUGUAAAGCUCUAUCAGCAGGGAAGAAAAUGACGGUACCUGACUCAGAAGCCCCGGCUAACUACGUGCCAGCAGCCGCGGUAAUACGUAGGGGGCAAGCGUUAUCCGGAUUUACUGGGUGUAAAGGGAGCGUAGACGGCAGGACAAGUCUGGAGGGAAAUGCCAGGGCUUAACCACGGAACUGCUUUGGAAACUGUGCAGCUAGAGUGCAGGAGAGGUAAGUGGAAUUCCGGGUGUAGCGGUGAAAUGCGUAGAUAUUAGGAGGAACACCAGUGGCGAAGGCGGCUUACUGGACUGUAACUGACGUUGAGGCUCGAAAGCGUGGGGAGCAAACAGGAUUAGAUACCCUUGUAGUC